UCAGACGAUGCGUCAUGCAUAUCAAUAAGCGGAGGAAAAGAAACUAACAAGGAUUCCCUUAGUAACGGCGAGUGAAGCGGGAAGAGCUCAAAUUUGAAAUCUUCAAGGUUUUACCUUGACGAAUUGUAGUUUAAAGAAGUGUUUUCUGUUGAAGUUUUGGUAAAAGUUCUUUGGAAUAGGACAUCAUAGAGGGUGAGAAUCCCGUAUUUGACCAUUAUUUUCAGCUGUGUGAUACACUUUCAAAGAGUCGGAUUGUUUGGGAAUGCAGUCCAAAAUGGGUGGUAAAUUUCAUCUAAAGCUAAAUAUUGGCGAGAGACCGAUAGCGAACAAGUACCGUGAGGGAAAGAUGAAAGAACUUUGAAAAGAGAGUUAAACAGUACGUGAAAUUGUCAAAAGGGAAGCGUUUGACACCAGUGUUGUUUUCUCGAAAAUCAAUUAAAAAGAGUUGGAUUUUGUGUUGUAUUGACCUUAACAGCUUGCUUCACUCUUUUCCUGCUUUUUUUAAUGCACUUUUCGUUUAACAAGUCAACAUCAGUUUCUUUUGUUGUAAAAGGGUAAGAGGAAGGUGGCUUUCUCUUCGGAGAAAGUGUUUAUAGCCUUUGAUCUCUGCAAUCGGAGAGACUGAGGUCUGCAGCGUAGAUCCUUCGGGGUUAGAUACAUUUGUGCUAAGCUACAGCUUUUCAUAGACAACUUGUUGACUAUGUUUAGUCUUGUAACUUACCCGCUUAUGCUAUUUUACCUACGCUUAGGAUGUUGAUAUGCAUGACUGAUAU
Molecule: ribosomal RNA, 773 nt
Filed under: uncultured Neocallimastigales
Lineage: Eukaryota; Fungi; Neocallimastigomycota; Neocallimastigomycetes; Neocallimastigales
Description: partial large subunit ribosomal RNA
Rfam family: Eukaryotic large subunit ribosomal RNA
Source: RNAcentral